Molecule: ribosomal RNA, 482 nt
Filed under: uncultured bacterium
Lineage: Bacteria
Description: partial 16S ribosomal RNA
Rfam family: Bacterial small subunit ribosomal RNA
Source: RNAcentral
AUUGAACGCUGGCGGCAUGCCUUACACAUGCAAGUCGAACGGUAACAGGUCUUCGGAUGCUGACGAGUGGCGAACGGGUGAGUAAUACAUCGGAACGUGCCCAGACGUGGGGGAUAACGAGGCGAAAGCUUUGCUAAUACCGCAUACGAUCUAAGGAUGAAAGCAGGGGACCGCAAGGCCUUGUGCGUUUGGAGCGGCCGAUGGCAGAUUAGGUAGUUGGUGGGAUAAAAGCUUACCAAGCCGACGAUCUGUAGCUGGUCUGAGAGGACGACCAGCCACACUGGGACUGAGACACGGCCCAGACUCCUACGGGAGGCGGCAGUGGGGAAUUUUGGACAAUGGGCGAAAGCCUGAUCCAGCAAUGCCGCGUGCAGGAUGAAGGCCUUCGGGUUGUAAACUGCUUUUGUACGGAACGAAAAGGCUCUGGCUAAUACCUGGGGCACAUGACGGUACCGUAAGAAUAAGCACCGGCUAACUACGUG